UACAGAGGCCUCAAGCGUUGUUCGGAUUCAUUGGGCGUAAAGGGUGCGUAGGCGGCGCGGUAAGUCGGGUGUGAAAUCCCGAGGCUCAACCUCGGGUCUGCAUCCGAUACUGCCCGGCUAGAGGUAGGUAGGGGAGAUCGGAAUUCCUGGUGUAGCGGUGAAAUGCGCAGAUAUCAGGAGGAACACCGGUGGCGAAGGCGGGUCUCUGGGCAGUAACUGACGCUGAGGAGCGAAAGCGUGGGUAGCGAACAGG
RNAcentral lists this ribosomal RNA (253 nucleotides) under uncultured bacterium. Its description in RNAcentral is "partial 16S ribosomal RNA". It matches the Rfam family "Bacterial small subunit ribosomal RNA", at positions 524 to 776 of the family's 1533-position model. The record is from RNAcentral.